UACGGAGGGGGCUAGCGUUGUUCGGAAUUACUGGGCGUAAAGCGUACGUAGGCGACUUUGUAAGUUAGAGGUGAAAGCCCGGGGCUCAACCCCGGAAUUGCCUUUAAGACUGCAUCGCUUGAACGUCGGAGAGGUGAGUGGAAUUCCGAGUGUAGAGGUGAAAUUCGUAGAUAUUCGGAAGAACACCAGUGGCGAAGGCGGCUCACUGGACGACUGUUGACGCUGAGGUACGAAAGCGUGGGGAGCAAACAGG
This 253-nucleotide ribosomal RNA is filed under the name uncultured bacterium. Its description in RNAcentral is "partial 16S ribosomal RNA". It matches the Rfam family "Bacterial small subunit ribosomal RNA", at positions 524 to 776 of the family's 1533-position model. The record is from RNAcentral.